UCGAACAGCCGAACCGCUAAUAACGAAGCUAUUAAAGGAGGCGGCUGAGGAAGGUAUUAUUAGUUCCAGUCAGAUGGCAAAGGGUUUUUCUCGGUUGGCAGAAAGCCUUGAUGACCUUGCUCUUGACAUUCCAUCAGCAAAAACCUUGUUUCAGUCUCUGGUCCCCAAGGCAAUAUCUGAAGGUUGGCUUGAUGAUUCAUUUGUGGAAUCCCAUGGCGAAGACGGUGAAGUGCAGAAUGGAGAUGAAAAGAUGGGGCACUACAAGAAAGAGAUUGUGUCCAUAAUUCACGAAUACUUUCUCUCGGAUGAUAUUCCGGAGCUGAUUCAAAGCCUUGAAGAUCUUGCAGUACCAGAGUAUAAUCCCAUAUUCUUGAAGAAGCUGAUCACACUCGCAAUGGAUAGAAAGAACCGUGAAAAGGAGAUGGCAUCUGUUCUGCUUUCUGCCCUUCACAUUGAGAUCUUCUCGACUGAGGACAUAGUUAAUGGAUUUGUCUUGCUUCUGGAAUCUGCAGAAGAUACAGCAUUGGACAUCUUGGAUGCUUCAAAUGAGCUUGCUCUCUUUCUGGCCAGGGCUGUGAUCGAUGAUGUGUUGGCUCCACUGAAUUUGGAAGAAAUUGGCAGCAGGUUGCCACCAAAUUGCAGCGCAACUGAGACUGUGCGAAUGGCUCGGUCACUGGUUUCUGCUCGUCAUGCUGGUGAGAGGCUCCUGAGAUGUUGGGGAGGUGGGACUGGCUGGGCUGUGGAGGAUGCAAAGGACAAGAUCACAAAGCUCUUAGAAGAGUAUGAAAGUGGGCGAGUCGUGGCUGAAGCCUGCCAGUGCAUUCGUGAUAUCGGAAUGCCGUUUUUUAACCAUGAGGUGGUGAAGAAGGCUCUGGUUAUGGCCAUGGAGAAGAAGAAUGACAGCAUGCUGGAUCUGCUCCAGGAGUGCUUUGGCGAAGGACUGAUCACAAUUAACCAGAUGACUAAAGGGUUCACCCGGAUCAAGGACGGGCUAGAUGACUUGGCUCUUGACAUUCCAAAUGCAAGGGAGAAGUUCAGCUUCUACGUGGAGCACGCACAGGAGAAGGGUUGGCUCUUGCCUACCUUUGAUUCAUCUGUUGCAGAUGGUUCCCACUGACCCCUAGGCUGCAAACCAUCAACAGAGAACAU
Molecule: long non-coding RNA, 1149 nt
Filed under: Fragaria vesca (wild strawberry)
Lineage: Eukaryota; Viridiplantae; Streptophyta; Magnoliopsida; Rosales; Rosaceae
Description: long non-coding RNA (FVES_LNC002247)
Source: RNAcentral